UACGUAGGGGGCGAGCGUUGUCCGGAAUCAUUGGGCGUAAAGCGCGUGUAGGCGGCCCGAUAAGUCCGCUGUGAAAGUCCAGGGCUCAACCCUGGGAUGCCGGUGGAUACUGUCGGGCUCGAGUCCGGAAGAGGCGAGUGGAAUUCCUGGUGUAGCGGUGAAAUGCGUAGAUAUCAAGAGGAACACCAGUGGCGAAGGCGAGUCCCUGGACAACACCUGACACUGAGGCACGAAAGCUAGGGGAGCAAACAGG
This 253-nucleotide ribosomal RNA is filed under the name uncultured bacterium. Its description in RNAcentral is "partial 16S ribosomal RNA". It matches the Rfam family "Bacterial small subunit ribosomal RNA", at positions 524 to 776 of the family's 1533-position model. The record is from RNAcentral.